Molecule: ribosomal RNA, 253 nt
Filed under: uncultured bacterium
Lineage: Bacteria
Description: partial 16S ribosomal RNA
Rfam family: Bacterial small subunit ribosomal RNA
Source: RNAcentral
GACAGAGGGUGCAAACGUUGUUCGGAAUUACUGGGCGUAAAGCGCGUGUAGGCGGUCCGAUCAGUCGGCUGUGGAAGUCCAGGGCUCAACCCUGGGAUGCCGGUCGAUACUGUCGGGCUAGAGUCCGGAAGAGGCGAGUGGAAUUCCCGGUGUAGCGGUGGAAUGCGUAGAGAUCGGGAGGAACACCGGUGGCGAAGGCGGGUCUCUGGGCCGAUACUGACGCUGAGGAGCGAAAGCGUGGGGAGCGAACAGG